AAGUCGUAACAAGGUUUCCGUAGGUGAACCUGCGGAAGGAUCAUUAUUGAAUAAAUCUGGCGCGAGGUUGUAGCUGGCUCUCCGGAGCAUGUGCACGCCUCCGUCACCUUUAUCUUUCCACCUGUGCACACACUGUAGUCCUGGAUACCUCUCGCUGCAAAAGCGGAUGCAGAGCUUGCUGUGACUUUGGCAACAAAGACCAGUCUUGCUCUGAAUUUCCAGGGUCUACGAAUCUUUUACACACCCCUUAAACGAAUGUCAUAGAAUGUAUAUCACUGGGCCUUUGUGCCUAUAAACCUUAUACAACUUUCAACAACGGAUCUCUUGGCUCUC
RNAcentral lists this unclassified non-coding RNA (333 nucleotides) under Coprinopsis urticicola. RNAcentral describes it as "partial internal transcribed spacer region". The stretch from base 1 to 46 matches the Rfam family "Eukaryotic small subunit ribosomal RNA", at positions 1786 to 1831 of the family's 1831-position model. The record is from RNAcentral. Lineage: Eukaryota; Fungi; Basidiomycota; Agaricomycetes; Agaricales; Psathyrellaceae.